AGAGCGAACGCUGGCGGCAGGCCUAACACAUGCAAGUCGAACGGACCCUUCGGGGUUAGUGGCGGACGGGUGAGUAACACGUGGGAACGUGCCUUUAGGUUCGGAAUAGCUCCUGGAAACGGGUGGUAAUGCCGAAUGUGCCCUUCGGGGGAAAGAUUUAUCGCCUUUAGAGCGGCCCGCGUCUGAUUAGCUUGUUGGUGAGGUAAUGGCUCACCAAGGCUACGAUCAGUAGCUGGUCUGAGAGGAUGACCAGCCACAUUGGGACUGAGACACGGCCCAAACUCCUACGGGAGCAGCAGUGGGGAAUCUUGCGCAAUGGGCGAAAGCCUGACGCAGCCAUGCCGCGUGUAUGAUGGAAGGUCUUAGGAUUAGUAAAAUACUUUCACCGGUGAAGAUAAUGACUGUAGCGGAAGAAGAACGCCCGGCUAACUCGUGCCAGCACGCCGC
This 447-nucleotide ribosomal RNA is filed under the name uncultured soil bacterium. RNAcentral's name for it is "bacterial SSU rRNA". It matches the Rfam family "Bacterial small subunit ribosomal RNA", at positions 26 to 518 of the family's 1533-position model. The record is from RNAcentral.